AACCAUAGAAACCUGCGGAGUACCUGCGGAAGGAUCAUUAUCGAGUUGCAAAACUCCAACCCUUUGUGAACAUACCUCAGUCGUUGCUUCGGCGGUGGACGGCCUUUUUUCGAAAAGGCCCGAAGCCGCCGGAGGUUCCAAACUCGUGUUUUGUUUAGUGUAUCUCUGAGCCUGAAAACAAAUAAUCAAAACUUUUAACAAUGGAUCU
Molecule: unclassified non-coding RNA, 208 nt
Filed under: soil metagenome
Description: partial contains 5.8S ribosomal RNA, internal transcribed spacer 2, and large subunit ribosomal RNA
Source: RNAcentral